This 497-nucleotide ribosomal RNA is filed under the name uncultured bacterium. Its description in RNAcentral is "partial 16S ribosomal RNA". It matches the Rfam family "Bacterial small subunit ribosomal RNA", at positions 28 to 507 of the family's 1533-position model. The record is from RNAcentral.
GAUGAACGCUGGCGGCGUGCCUAAUACAUGCAAGUCGAGCGAACAGACGAGGAGCUUGCUCCUCUGACGUUAGCGGCGGACGGGUGAGUAACACGUGGAUAACCUACCUAUAAGACUGGGAUAACUUCGGGAAACCGGAGCUAAUACCGGAUAAUAUUUUGAACCGCAUGGUUCAAUAGUGAAAGACGGUUUUGCUGUCUCUUAUAGAUGUAUCCGCGCCGCAUUAGCUAGUUGGUAAGGUAACGGCUUACCAAGGCAACGAUGCGUAGCCGACCUGAGAGGGUGAUCGGCCACACUGGAACUGAGACACGGUCCAGACGCCUACGGGAGGCAGCAGUAGGGAAUCUUCCGCAAUGGGCGAAAGCCUGACGGAGCAACGCCGCGUGAGUGAUGAAGGUCUUCGGAUCGUAAAACUCUGUUAUUAGGGAAGAACAAAUGUGUAAGUAACUAUGCACGUCUUGACGGUACCUAAUCAGAAAGCCACGGCUAACUACGUG